GACGUAGGGUCCAAGCGUUGUCCGGAUUUACUGGGCGUAAAGAGCGCGUAGGCGGUCUGUUAAGUGUAGAGUGAAAUCUCCAGGGCUCAACCCGGAAACUGCUCUGCAUACUGGCAGACUUGAGGGAUGCAGAGGUUUGUGGAAUUCCUGGUGUAACGGUGAAAUGUGUUGAUAUCAGGAGGAACACCCAUGGCGAAGGCAGCAAACUGGGCAUCAUCUGACGCUGAGGCGCGAAAAGCGUGGGUAGCAAACAGG
Molecule: ribosomal RNA, 255 nt
Filed under: uncultured bacterium
Lineage: Bacteria
Description: partial 16S ribosomal RNA
Rfam family: Bacterial small subunit ribosomal RNA
Source: RNAcentral